UGUGUGUGUGUGUGUGUGUGUGUGUGUGUGUGUGUGUGUGUGUGUGAUCUGAAAUCUGAUCUGUGUGUCGCUUCAGACGGAGGUUACUCUAUCCGUGUGACCCUACAACACAGUGAGGAGGCUGGCUCUGUUGUGCUUCUACUGAAAGGCUUUCUGAUCAGACAAAAGUUACCUUCUCAGCCAAUUAGAGCCUGAUGCCCUGGAGGCCUGUGUCCUCUCCCUGAGCCAGCAGGGGGCCUCAGUCCCACAGCGGGACACCCAGCUCUGGGUCAGCCUUCAGCCUGAACCCUCCAGCCCCGUCUCAAGCUGUCCCACCCUGCCUCCCCUCCCUCCUCUCCUCUUCCUUCUCCUCUUUCUCCUCCCUCCUGGCCCCCACAGGCCCACCUGGACUCCCAGUCAGCGUUCUCCCUCCAUGAGGGGCAGGGGGAGGCGCUUGGGGCCCUCAGGACGGACCCCCGGCCUCUUCAUAUUGAAACAUCUGAGAGCCUCUGGGACCUGGGACAACCAGCCUGCCACGAUGUCUCAACUUUAACAGACCUUUGUUCCGACCUGCCCGAGUUGGAGAUAGUGAGCCUCCUGUCUGAGGGUCAGCCCAGCUACACCCUGCGAGCGGACACGGUGUUCGGAUACGACCAUGACGACUGGCUGCAUACCCCUCUGCUGACACCAAUCGUGGCUCUGGGACUCACACACGAGCAGAUAGAAGAGACGCUCAAGU
Molecule: long non-coding RNA, 718 nt
Organism: Notothenia coriiceps (black rockcod)
Lineage: Eukaryota; Metazoa; Chordata; Actinopteri; Perciformes; Nototheniidae
Exons: 3
Source: RefSeq, a predicted model, not a curated record